UGGGGAAUAUUGGACAAUGGGCGAAAGCCUGAUCCAGCCAUGCCGCGUGUGUGAAGAAGGUCUUCGGAUUGUAAAGCACUUUAAGCGAGGAGGAGGCUACUUUAGUUAAUACCUAGAGAUAGUGGACGUUACUCGCAGAAUAAGCACCGGCUAACUCUGUGCCAGCAGCCGCGGUAAUACAGAGGGUGCAAGCGUUAAUCGGAUUUACUGGGCGUAAAGCGCGCGUAGGCGGCUAAUUAAGUCAAAUGUGAAAUCCCCGAGCUUAACUUGGGAAUUGCAUUCGAUACUGGUUAGCUAGAGUGUGGGAGAGGAUGGUAGAAUUCCAGGUGUAGCGGUGAAAUGCGUAGAUAUAGGAAGGAACACCAGUGGCGAAGGCGACCACCUGGGCUCAUACUGACACUGAUGUGCGAAAGCGUGGGGAGCAAACAGG
This 430-nucleotide ribosomal RNA is filed under the name Pseudomonadota bacterium. RNAcentral describes it as "Proteobacteria bacterium partial 16S ribosomal RNA". It matches the Rfam family "Bacterial small subunit ribosomal RNA", at positions 355 to 776 of the family's 1533-position model. Lineage: Bacteria; Pseudomonadati; Pseudomonadota. The record is from RNAcentral.